ACCGGGGGAUAACAGCUGGAAACGGCUGCUAAUACCGCAUAAGCGCACAGAGCUGCAUGGCUCGGUGUGAAAAACUCCGGUGGUAUGGGAUGGGCCCGCGUCUGAUUAGGCAGUUGGCGGGGUAACGGCCCACCAAACCGACGAUCAGUAGCCGGCCUGAGAGGGCGACCGGCCACAUUGGGACUGAGACACGGCCCAAACUCCUACGGGAGGCAGCAGUGGGGAAUAUUGCACAAUGGGGGAAACCCUGAUGCAGCGACGCCGCGUGAGCGAAGAAGUAUUUCGGUAUGUAAAGCUCUAUCAGCAGGGAAGAUAAUGACGGUACCUGACUAAGAAGCCCCGGCUAACUACGUGCCAGCAGCCGCAGUAAUACGUAGGGGGCAAGCGUUAUCCGGAUUUACUGGGUGUAAAGGGAGCGUAGACGGCAAGGCAAGUCUGAUGUGAAAACCCAGGGCUUAACCCUGGGACUGCAUUGGAAACUGUCUGGCUCGAGUGCCGGAGAGGUAAGCGGAAUUCCUAGUGUAGCGGUGAAAUGCGUAGAUAUUAGGAAGAACACCAGUGGCGAAGGCGGCUUACUGGACGGUAACUGACGUUGAGGCUCGAAAGCGUGGGGAGCAAACAGGAUUAGAUACCCUGGUAGUCCACGCCGUAAAC
RNAcentral lists this ribosomal RNA (654 nucleotides) under uncultured bacterium. RNAcentral describes it as "bacterial SSU rRNA". It matches the Rfam family "Bacterial small subunit ribosomal RNA", at positions 135 to 807 of the family's 1533-position model. The record is from RNAcentral.